UGAAUUCUGGUUUACGGGCGCACAUGAGUUGGUUGAACAAAUUCAAAUGAAUCGUCUCGUUUAGUCGUAGCUACUUGUCUUCCUACAAACAGCUAUUCAAAAUGAACAUAUCAGAAAAUGGAGCAGUAGGCGAUGCCAUUACAGUGCACGAUUUCUCAGAGAAGAUUCUGGCGCAAACGGUUCACUUUCACGUCAUGAAACUCAAUGUUUUUUUUCUUCCUUUGGGUCGGCUCGAACCCCGUCUUGUCCAACAUGGCUGUUUCAGUGGAAAGUAAAUUUGAUUCGAUGCCGCUGUCUACCUUAGUCCUGGGGGACCCAUCUGAAACCACCUAGAAUUCACUGGCGCAGAGAUUGACUCAUGAAACAUGGGACCAACACUGGUGUUUCUACAGUCUUUUCAGAAAACUUGGGACAAAUAAAAUCACCUGAGGCCGUCAAUGUAAGGUGUGUAUUAAUCAUUUGUAUGUUAGAGUAGUUUGUAUACAAACAUACUCUAAGUCACAGCUGUUCUAACUAGAUCACACUAUUGUACUAAGCUAAUAAACUAGACACUAACCAUUUCAAAACCCCGAUAGACAUUGUGCUUCGUGGCAUGGCCAGCCAUUAUUUAACCGUGCUAAAGAGACAGGUUGAAACAAGUCCUAAAAACAGCAAUAUACUACUAAAAUUAUUUACCACAGUGUUGAGAACAGGGACAGGAAAGGUCAGAAUUAGCAAAAUUAAAGAGGUAUUUCAAGCAACAAGAAUGC
Long non-coding RNA from Salvelinus namaycush (lake trout), 749 nucleotides. RefSeq lists it as uncharacterized. Lineage: Eukaryota; Metazoa; Chordata; Actinopteri; Salmoniformes; Salmonidae. The record is from RefSeq and is a predicted model, not a curated record. The transcript has 3 exons.